UGCAAGUCGAGCGGACAGAUGGGAGCUUGCUCCCUGAUGUUAGCGGCGGACGGGUGAGUAACACGUGGGUAACCUGCCUGUAAGACUGGGAUAACUCCGGGAAACCGGGGCUAAUACCGGAUGGUUGUUUGAACCGCAUGGUUCAAACAUAAAAGGUGGCUUCGGCUACCACUUACAGAUGGACCCGCGGCGCAUUAGCUAGUUGGUGAGGUAACGGCUCACCAAGGCAACGAUGCGUAGCCGACCUGAGAGGGUGAUCGGCCACACUGGGACUGAGACACGGCCCAGACUCCUACGGGAGGCAGCAGUAGGGAAUCUUCCGCAAUGGACGAAAGUCUGACGGAGCAACGCCGCGUGAGUGAUGAAGGUUUUCGGAUCGUAAAGCUCUGUUGUUAGGGAAGAACAAGUACCGUUCGAAUAGGGCGGUACCUUGACGGUACCUAACCAGAAAGCCACGGCUAACUACGUGCCAGCAGCCGCGGUAAUACGUAGGUGGCAAGCGUUGUCCGGAAUUAUUGGGCGUAAAGGGCUCGCAGGCGGUUUCUUAAGUCUGAUGUGAAAGCCCCCGGCUCAACCGGGGAGGGUCAUUGGAAACUGGGGAACUUGAGUGCAGAAGAGGAGAGUGGAAUUCCACGUGUAGCGGUGAAAUGCGUAGAGAUGUGGAGGAACACCAGUGGCGAAGGCGACUCUCUGGUCUGUAACUGACGCUGAGGAGCGAAAGCGUGGGGAGCGAACAGGAUUAGAUACCCUGGUAGUCCACGCCGUAAACGAUGAGUGCUAAGUGUUAGGG
This 790-nucleotide ribosomal RNA is filed under the name Bacillus subtilis subsp. subtilis. RNAcentral describes it as "bacterial SSU rRNA". It matches the Rfam family "Bacterial small subunit ribosomal RNA", at positions 56 to 828 of the family's 1533-position model. Lineage: Bacteria; Bacillati; Bacillota; Bacilli; Caryophanales; Bacillaceae. The record is from RNAcentral.